Long non-coding RNA from Gossypium arboreum, 2619 nucleotides. RefSeq lists it as uncharacterized. The transcript has 4 exons. The record is from RefSeq and is a predicted model, not a curated record. NCBI's taxonomy places the organism in Eukaryota, Viridiplantae, Streptophyta, Magnoliopsida, Malvales, Malvaceae.
UAAGCGAGUGAUUAAUAGUGCUUUAUGUCCUUGAUGCGGGGAAUGGAAAAGAAGACUAUGUGCAUGUUUUCCAGCAAUGCCCUGUAACAGUAGAGAUUUGGUAGAAGUUAAAGGUCUCAUGGGUUAUUACUAGAACGGCUCAAAAUAUCUGGGAAUGGAUUACCUGGAUCUUUCAGAAUAGUACUCAUCAACAGUGUCGCCUGCUCUGUUGCGAUUUGUGGAUCAUAUAGAGCUCAAGAAAUAAACUCGUGCAUGAAAGGAAGAUAGAGUUAGGGGGAGAGAUUUCACAGAAUAUCCGAAGAUAUAUGGUUGAAAUUGAGGGAUUAGAAGAAAAGAAGUUUACCUCUUCCAUUGGUAGCAGGAGUAACCAUCUAGAUGCAAACACCAGGGCAACGAUUCAGUUUGACGCAGCAUUCAACAACAGAAGUCACAAAUCAGCAUCGGGCUUAGUGGUUUGGAGUCGGAUGGGAGAACUCUUUGCAUUAAAGACAGUGGUAAAUGCAAACGUUCCAUCUCCGUUUACAGCAGAGGCUUACGCAGGCUUGCAAGCUGUUCAGUUAGGGAUCUUGAUGGCCCUUCCUUCAAUAACGGUUAUGGGAGACUCUCGAACAGUUAUCAAAAAAUGCCAAUCAAAAAACUCAGACAAAUCAACCAUCGGUGCAAUAAUUAGAGAUAUUCAAAGUAGUAUGACUCGUUUUCGAGAAAUAAAAUUCUAGUUCAUCAAAAGAACAGAGAAUGCCUAUGCUCACAACCUAGCGAAGGAGUCUUUAAGAAAGAAUGAGGAAACGUACCAGAGAAGGGCGGAUCUAACUUAGCACCAUUCGCAAUCGGAGGGAAGAUGGAAAAGCAACCCAGAUUGAGGUUUGCUUAUGGUAAAUGAAAUGUAACAGAUAGCUUAAUAUGGAAUAUGGAGCGGCUAUCGACAACACAGAGGAGAUGGAGAUGUGAAAGAACAAUACGGAAAAGGAGUCCAGCUGUGUCUUUGGAACCGGCUAGUUUCAUUACAAUAACAGUACGUUUGGUUGGAGGGAAUGGCUAUUCCAUUCCCUCCUUAUUCUGUGAUGACUGGUAAUGCUUUUGUUUGGUUCACCGUUUCUUCAUUCGGCCGUAUUACUUAAAGCGUUUCUAUUCCCUCAAACGCGUAAUAGGGAUUCAGCGUUGAAAGCUUGGAAUGGCUAUUCCGACCAUCGCUGAAUAGAAAUGAAGAAAAUUCUUCCCAAAAUCUCCUUCAGACUUUCUCUGCAAAUGCGUUCAAAAUUGCUUCUUUUAUUACAACAAUACACUUUCAGUAUUUCAGAUUUGGAGAUAUGGUGCAACAGACGAAACUUUAUUAAGAAAUAUACAUUAUAGUGCUUUGGAGCAGACACAAAUUGAAGUCCAGACACUAGAGGGUCAAAUGGAACCAGAAGUUCUGCUAGCGGGCAGUAUAGAUGGCUCCUUCAGGUCAGGGUUGAAAGCUGAAAUUGGAAUACUCUUUCCUAGGAUAUUUUUCUCCGGCAUGAAUCAGUGCAGUGCUUUGUUGGCAUCAUUAAGUCAAUGGGAGCUUGGAUGGAUAUAGAGCUGAAGAUAGGUGAUUCUGACUUGUCUAGAAGCUUCGAGAGUGACACUUCAUCAGAGAGACCUUCAACCUCAAUUGUAGAAAAUAGAGUUGUCCCUGAUUGUGAGCUGCAUCCAGAAAUGAAUUUUGAAUUGUCAGAUACUGCUACGCUUGAGCAACGCCUGGCUUACAAGAUUGAACUCCAAGUCGGUAAUUUUUUUAUGUUGGGAUAAGUAUGAGUGGUUCUUCAAGUAGCAGUUACUUAUCAUACUGAAACUGUCACAGAGGGCUGCCUAAGGAUAUCAUUAUAAUUUGCCAUAUUACUAUUGACUUCUCUUCAGUCAUGUAAUUUUAUGUAGCGUAAUUUUAUGUGUAGCUCUCCUUUUCUUUUACAAGCUUAGUUUUACUGACCAACUUUAAUGGGUUACAUGCAGAAAGGUGGCUCAUUAUUUAACAGGAAUCCUUCCAAAGGCAUCGAGUUUCUUAUAGAUACAUGCAGAUGAGAGCUUUAUUGCCUGAUAGACCAGGCUUUUCUUCAGCCAAGUUAAAUAGUUCCAUGACUAUUUCAUUCUUGAGAUAUUCCAAUGGAAGCACAAAGUGUUUCUGAUCUAUACUGUAUACAACAAAAUCGCCCUGCUCAACUGUUGUCGACGUGUUGCAACUGUUUGCGCCAGUAUCUGAGGUGGCACUUGAUGGUUAAUAGGAAAGAACUCCGAGAUGAAAGGAAAAAGAGGGAAGAUUUAGGCUUGAAACUCUUCUGGAUAUAAAGCAAUGGAAAUUUGAUGAAUAUAUAACUAGAAGGUGAGAGACAGUCCCUUUAAUGAAUAGUACAAUGCCGGUAUUCAUUGGAAACAAAGACGUGGUAGGUAGAUAUCUAUAGUCUGCAAGGUGACCAUGUUUGCUUUUAUUGGAUGAUUAACCCCCAGCAAAGUUGAUCAUAUAUAGAAGUUCAUAUAUACAUCUUUAUGUAAUUUCCAAGUGGUUUAACAACAAUAAGGUCCAGUAAUGAAAGUGGUCAGAUGAUCCACAUGUUCUGGAUUGAUGAGUUUUUAUAAUUUCUGAAACAAAUUUUGCCCCUAAAA